AACACAUGCAAGUCGAGCGCCCUUUUCGGAGGGAGCGGCAGACGGGUGAGUAACGCGUGGGAAUCUACCGAGCCCUAAGGAAUAACUCCGGGAAACUGGAACUAAUACCUUAUACGCCCUACGGGGGAAAGAUUUAUCGGGGUUUGAUGAGCCCGCGUUGGAUUAGCUAGUUGGUGGGGUAAAGGCCUACCAAGGCGACGAUCCAUAGCUGGUCUGAGAGGAUGAUCAGCCACAUUGGGACUGAGACACGGCCCAAACUCCUACGGGAGGCAGCAGUGGGGAAUAUUGGACAAUGGGCGCAAGCCUGAUCCAGCCAUGCCGCGUGAGUGAAGAAGGUCUUAGGAUUGUAAAGCUCUUUCACCGAUGAAGAUAAUGACUGUAGUCGGAGAAGAAGCCCCGGCUAACUUCGUGCCAGCAGCCGCGGUAAUACGAAGGGGGCUAGCGUUGUUCGGAAUUACUGGGCGUAAAGCGCACGUAGGCGGAUAUUUAAGUCAGGGGUGAAAUCCCGCAGCUCAACUGCGGAACUGCCUUUGAUACUGGGUAUCUUGAGUAUGGAAGAGGUAAGUGGAAUUGCGAGUGUAGAGGUGAAAUUCGUAGAUAUUCGCAGGAACACCAGUGGCGAAGGCGGCUUACUGGUCCAUUACUGACGC
This 650-nucleotide ribosomal RNA is filed under the name Comamonas sp. RNAcentral's name for it is "bacterial SSU rRNA". It matches the Rfam family "Bacterial small subunit ribosomal RNA", at positions 50 to 746 of the family's 1533-position model. The record is from RNAcentral. Lineage: Bacteria; Pseudomonadati; Pseudomonadota; Betaproteobacteria; Burkholderiales; Comamonadaceae.